This is a small nuclear RNA of Mauremys mutica (yellowpond turtle), 195 nucleotides long. RefSeq annotates it as U2 spliceosomal RNA. The record is from RefSeq and is a predicted model, not a curated record. NCBI's taxonomy places the organism in Eukaryota, Metazoa, Chordata, Testudines, Geoemydidae. The transcript has a single exon.
AUUGCUUCUUGGCUCCUUGGAGCUCAGAUCAAAGUGUCGUUUCUGUUCUUAUCAGUUUAAUCUCUGAUACGUCCUUGAUGUGAGGACUGUAUAUUAACCUUCUGGUUAGAAAAGCAGAAAAGAGUUGAACUGUGAUACUUUCUUUAAAGCGGAUGUUUUUUGAAGUAGCAGAAAAAUCUGGGUGUUUUUCUUUCU